This is a long non-coding RNA of Lytechinus variegatus (green sea urchin), 768 nucleotides long. RefSeq lists it as uncharacterized. The record is from RefSeq and is a predicted model, not a curated record. NCBI's taxonomy places the organism in Eukaryota, Metazoa, Echinodermata, Echinoidea, Temnopleuroida, Toxopneustidae. The transcript is spliced from 3 exons.
AUCAUUAUUGCCUGAACGUGCGUUGAUUGUACGUACGCAUUGCAAAAUCACCGGCUGGCCGACUGAACUCGAAACAAAAAGACGCAAUUUAAUAAGUUUUCAAAAUCAAGUGAAACGUCUUUGACCGUCGUCAUCUCCCAAGAUUUUGCCACUCUCCAACCAUGCUGCAGAAUUACAGUAGAUAGCAAAAACUAGUUCAGAAACCUCUCUCAUGCCCCUUCCUUCGCAUCAUCGUAAACCCCAUUAAACUCAGGCAAAAUGCAAAAUUGUAGGAGAAGUCUAUCGUAUUGCAGUCAAGAUUUCAACAUAGAGGGCGACAUUUCCUUGCUUUCUGCACAGGUCAACAAAUUCUUCCAGAUUUGAGUCUUAAUGGAGUCAAAUUGGAAAGUUUUUGCUUUGUUUUUGUUCUUGCUAAAACUACCAAAUCCUUAAUAAUUGUUGACAAAUGUUUUUUUUUUGUGAAGAGCCUCAUAGGGAAAUGCUGCCCUCUUGUUUUGAAGUUGUCAUUUUGUCUUUGGAGAAUUUACUUACAUUAUCAAGACCUGUGUAACAAAUAGAAAUGCACGACUUAUCACCUAGUUACAUGUAAAUCUCAUUCUUGUGUCUGUUUGCAUGUUUUCUUGUUUAUAUUCAAAUUUAACUUGGGAGGGGCUCAUGAGAGGACUCAGACAAGUUCGGUUUUAUCUGACAGUAAUUAUUACAGUAACAAUGCUUCUUAUACCUCGGUCGCAUUGGCUCUUCGGCAAGUCGCAACAGCCGUUUUAACUU